This 16-nucleotide ribosomal RNA is filed under the name [Coniosporium] sp. MA 4597. RNAcentral describes it as "Coniosporium sp. MA 4597 18S ribosomal RNA". Lineage: Eukaryota; Fungi; Ascomycota; Eurotiomycetes; Chaetothyriales; Herpotrichiellaceae. The record is from RNAcentral.
GUGAACCUGCGGAGGG